This 64-nucleotide transfer RNA is filed under the name Varanus nebulosus (Clouded monitor). RNAcentral's name for it is "tRNA-Val". The record is from RNAcentral. Lineage: Eukaryota; Metazoa; Chordata; Lepidosauria; Squamata; Varanidae.
CAAGAAGUAGCUUACACCAAAGCACUUGAUCUACAACCAAGAGACGCUACUCCAGCCUUCUUGA